UAGGGAAUCUUCCACAAUGGACGCAAGUCUGAUGGAGCAACGCCGCGUGAGUGAAGAAGGCUUUCGGGUCGUAAAACUCUGUUAUUGAAGAAGAACGUGUGUGACAGUAACUGGUCAUGCAGUGACGGUAUUCAAUCAGAAAGUCACGGCUAACUACGUGCCAGCAGCCGCGGUAAUACGUAGGUGGGCAAGCGUUGCCGGAUUUAUUGGGCGUAAAGCGAGUGCAGGCGGUCUUUUAAGUCUGAUGUGAAAGCCUUCGGCUUAACCGAAGAAGGGCAUCGGAAACUGGGAGACUUGAGUGCAGAAGAGGAGAGUGGAACUCCAUGUGUAGCGGUGAAAUGCGUAGAUAUAUGGAAGAACACCAGUGGCGAAGGCGGCUCUCUGGUCUGUAACUGACGCUGAGGCUCNAAAGCGUGGGUACAAACAGGAUUAGAUACCCUGGUAGUCCACG
RNAcentral lists this ribosomal RNA (451 nucleotides) under uncultured bacterium. Its description in RNAcentral is "partial 16S ribosomal RNA". It matches the Rfam family "Bacterial small subunit ribosomal RNA", at positions 355 to 799 of the family's 1533-position model. The record is from RNAcentral.